Molecule: long non-coding RNA, 1549 nt
Organism: Spinacia oleracea (spinach)
Lineage: Eukaryota; Viridiplantae; Streptophyta; Magnoliopsida; Caryophyllales; Amaranthaceae
Exons: 4
Source: RefSeq, a predicted model, not a curated record
CAACUCCAACCAAACAAACGCGUUGCUUGAACCUUCAUCAGAUCUAAAAUUUUAGCUCCCUCGUUCUCCCUAGAACUCUCCGCCCAUUUCAUGUCAAACCCUAGAAUUCGCCAUCUCUCUAUUCUCCUUGAUACCGCUUUCUUCCAAAUCGUUCAAUGGGUUUUUUGAUAAAUCGCGCUACAAUCCUGUUUCUUCCAACUCUCAUAAUCUAGAUGAGUAGAAUAUUUUCAUCUCUUACAAUUUUGUGUUAUAUUUUCAAGCCGAUCUAUAGAGAGAGAACGAUGUCGACCUCGUACUACACUCGACGUUCGCUUCGGCUAUUGCGGAAACAGGCCUUCCAUGGCUACUAGCUAAAGGACUUGACACGUUUACCUCUAUCAGUGAAAUGGCAAGAUAUAUCGAAUUCGACAAAUAACUAGGACAGCAUAUGACUGAUCAUUUAUCCUUGGUUUGUCAAUUUUGUGCAGAUUCCUGUAUCUGCAGUGCCUGAUCCUCAUAACUUGGAGCCGUGGUUGGAUGUUGAUGGAGAAUCGAAGCAGAAAGGAUCAACAAAAGACAUGAUAUCCAAAAUCCCAUUCCUGAUUAGCCAUAUCAGUUCUUUCAUGACACUUAUGGAAGGAGAUGUCAUCCUAACAGGUUUUCUUGAUUUUACACAAAAAUCUCAAAUGAAGGAGAACGAAAACUACGGAGAAGAAGAACUCGCCGACCUCUACUAGGGUGAGUUUCCAAAUCCUGAUGCUUCAAAGGUCACCUUUUAUGGUUCUUUUUGUCAUUUGUGUGGAUUUAGCUCUUUUUUUUAAUUUAUUAAUGUGCUUUUCCAUUGAGAUAUGGCAGACCAUGUCAUGGUUGUGGAUGUAAGAAUAAAUCUUGUUACUUAUGCAAGCCGAAUUUAUGAGAUAACUUGAUUUUUUAGUGUUCUUGAACUUUUGUGUUUUAUGAGAUAACUUGAUUGGAUGAGCUAGGUUGGGUUAGAUUUAGUGAUGUAUUUUGUGUUGGGAGUAAGUUGGUUGUAUUCUUGCCGAGGCUAUAGAAACCAUGAUGUUCACCAUGUGUGAUUAGGUCACUCUAUCUUGCUGUUGAAUUUUUGUUUGAUUGGUUUGGUCUUUUCCUCUUUGGGACGGUUCCAUGCUGGAGUUAAUAUUUUAGCUGGUCUGAGUCUGGUACAAAUUGGAACCAAAUCUGGUCUUUGUUGUAGUUUGGGUGGUUUUAUUGACGGGAGACUGAUUCUGGUCAUUUUUGGGUUAAUUUUGUUGUAUGUUAUUUAGGUUGAUUUUGUUAAUUUUUCUAGCCGAAUUGGUUUGAGUCUUAAUCUCUAUUUGUUCACUUGCAAAAUUGAAGUUUUACUUUGUGUAAACUCUUGUCUAGGGUUACAAUAAAGGUGCUAGAGUAUUUUAGGAGACCAAGUGAGGACUUUAGGGUUCAGUGCUCACUUAAGAAUUAGUGGAGCACUCGGUUGACAGAAAUUGUUGUUUGCUGAUAGAAGUGCUUCAUUUUAUGCUUUUCGGUUUCAUUUGUCAUGAAUUAUUUGAGCAGAGCACCACACUACCUG